CAGUAGCCGCGGGAAUACGUAGGUGGCAAGCGUUGUCCGGAAUUAUUGGGCGUAAAGCGCGCGCAGGCGGAUCAGUCAGUCUGUCUUAAAAGUUCGGGGCUUAACCCCGUGAGGGGAUGGAAACUGCUGAUCUAGAGUAUCGGAGAGGAAAGUGGAAUUCCUAGUGUAGCGGUGAAAUGCGUAGAUAUUAGGAAGAACACCAGUGGCGAAGGCGACUUUCUGGACGAAAACUGACGCUGAGGCGCGAAAGCCAGGGGAGCGAACGGGAUUAGAGACCCUGAGUCCCUGUCUCUUAUACACA
This 301-nucleotide ribosomal RNA is filed under the name uncultured bacterium. Its description in RNAcentral is "partial 16S ribosomal RNA". It matches the Rfam family "Bacterial small subunit ribosomal RNA", at positions 509 to 811 of the family's 1533-position model. The record is from RNAcentral.